Molecule: ribosomal RNA, 505 nt
Filed under: uncultured bacterium
Lineage: Bacteria
Description: bacterial SSU rRNA
Rfam family: Bacterial small subunit ribosomal RNA
Source: RNAcentral
CAGAACGAACGCUGGCGGCGCGUCUUAAGCAUGCAAGUCGAACGGCAAGAGGUAGCAAUACCUCCUAGAGUGGCGGACUGGUGAGUAACACGUGGGUGACAUACCCUUCAGGAUGGGGAUAGCUAUUAGAAAUAGUAGAUAAUACCGAAUACGAGCACAGGGGUUAGAGAUCUGUGAGGAAAGGAGCUAAGGCUCCGCUGAAGGAAUGGCCUGCGGCCCAUUAGCUAGUUGGUGAGGUAAGAGCCCACCAAGGCGAUGAUGGGUAUCCGGCCUUAGAGGGUGAACGGACACAUUGGGACUGAGAUACGGCCCAGACUCCUACGGGAGGCAGCAGCUAAGAAUAUUCCGCAAUAGACGAAAGUCUGACGGAGCGACGCCGCGUGGAUGAAGAAGGCCGGAAGGUUGUAAAAUCCUUUUGAAACUGAAGAAUAAGCGUUGUAGGGAGUGACAGCGUGGUGACAGUAGGUUUUGAAUAAGCAACGGCUAAUUACGUGCCAGCCGCAGC